RNAcentral lists this ribosomal RNA (385 nucleotides) under Eucyclops cf. serrulatus clade I. RNAcentral describes it as "partial 12S small subunit ribosomal RNA". Lineage: Eukaryota; Metazoa; Arthropoda; Copepoda; Cyclopoida; Cyclopidae. The record is from RNAcentral.
CUUUAUUUAAAUCAAUGUCGAAAUAGCUUGCCCUGUGCUCAAAUCCUAAAAUUAUUAAUCUUUUACAGCAUCUAAAGUUAGCUUUAAAAGCCUAUGUGUGACUUGAUUAAUGCAAGGUAUUUUUAAUGCUAACAACCAUAAAUAAAGCCAUUUAAAAUAAAUAAAAUCGGGGGUUGUCGAAUUUACUUUAAAUUCUCUGAUAAGAAAAAUAACAGCCAUAUACUUUAAGUUUAUAUAUACUACUUUUAGGUUUUUAGUAGCUAGGUUCUAUUCUAGUUUCUUAGUUUUUUUAUUAAUUUAAAUGCUAAAGAGAAAUUUAUUAUAUUGAACUAAGGUCUUUGUACUUUAGUUUGAUAUUAAUAAUCUUUUAAUCUGUGACAAAGUA